UACAGAGGUGGCAAGCGUUGUUCGGAAUUACUGGGCGUAAAGGGCGCGUAGGCGGCCUUCUAAGUCAGACGUGAAAUCCCCCGGCUUAACCUGGGAACUGCGUCUGAUACUGGGAGGCUUGAGUAUGGGAGAGGGAUGUAGAAUUCCCGGUGUAGCGGUGAAAUGCGUAGAUAUCUGGAGGAAUACCGGUGGCGAAGGCGGCAUCCUGGACCAUUACUGACGCUGAUGAGCGAAAGCCAGGGGAGCAAACGGG
Molecule: ribosomal RNA, 253 nt
Filed under: uncultured bacterium
Lineage: Bacteria
Description: partial 16S ribosomal RNA
Rfam family: Bacterial small subunit ribosomal RNA
Source: RNAcentral